Molecule: unclassified non-coding RNA, 86 nt
Filed under: Pseudomonas migulae
Lineage: Bacteria; Pseudomonadati; Pseudomonadota; Gammaproteobacteria; Pseudomonadales; Pseudomonadaceae
Source: RNAcentral
GUAGGAGCCGGCUUGCUGGCGAUAGCGCGUUACGCGGUGUAUCUGAAUCACCGCGACGUCUGGAUCGCCAGCAAGCCGGCUCCUAC